RNAcentral lists this ribosomal RNA (312 nucleotides) under Stenotrophomonas maltophilia. RNAcentral's name for it is "bacterial LSU rRNA". It matches the Rfam family "Bacterial large subunit ribosomal RNA", at positions 2613 to 2925 of the family's 2925-position model. Lineage: Bacteria; Pseudomonadati; Pseudomonadota; Gammaproteobacteria; Lysobacterales; Lysobacteraceae. The record is from RNAcentral.
AGAACGUCGUGAGACAGUUCGGUCCCUAUCCGUCGUGGGCGCAGGAAAUUUGAGGAGAGCUGUCCUUAGUACGAGAGGACCGGGAUGGACGCACCGCUGGUGUACCAGUUGUUCUGCCAAGGGCAUAGCUGGGUAGCUAUGUGCGGACGGGAUAAGUGCUGAAAGCAUCUAAGCAUGAAGCCCCCCUCAAGAUGAGAUUUCCCAUAGCGUAAGCUAGUAAGAUCCCUGAAAGAUGAUCAGGUUGAUAGGUUCGAGGUGGAAGCAUGGUGACAUGUGGAGCUGACGAAUACUAAUAGAUCGAGGACUUAACCA